This is a long non-coding RNA of Puntigrus tetrazona (Sumatra barb), 462 nucleotides long. RefSeq lists it as uncharacterized. NCBI's taxonomy places the organism in Eukaryota, Metazoa, Chordata, Actinopteri, Cypriniformes, Cyprinidae. The record is from RefSeq and is a predicted model, not a curated record. The transcript has 3 exons.
AUCAAAUUGGGAUUGCAGUCUGCUGAUCAAAACUCUGGAAUCAUCUCACAGUGGAGAGAAAUUAUACACAAGGAUUGACCCUGAAAAUAUUGCAUGGAAAAACUAUGAAACUGAUGACGCUACAUCUACAGUUCUUGUUGAUGCAAGUCCAUGGCAGCCCAGCAUCAAAAUCUUUGGAGGUGACAGAACGGGUGACGCAGUCACUGUGACAUGUUCAACUUUUCACACAUGUCCCUUUAACAAACCAAAAAUCACUCUGAACGGUAUAGAAGGACCUGAUGAAAUAAAGGAUGAGUCUGUUAAAGACGGCUUGUGGAAAAGCACUCUGAUACGCACAGGUGUCGUAAAGACAGAAAGCUCAACUAUUAAGUGUUUAGUAACACAUCAUGGCAACAUUCCAGCGACAGCUACAGAGAUCAAAAAUUCUAAAUGUGUUCAUUAUAACAUAUCGAUUGAGCCUGA